This 444-nucleotide ribosomal RNA is filed under the name uncultured bacterium. RNAcentral describes it as "bacterial SSU rRNA". It matches the Rfam family "Bacterial small subunit ribosomal RNA", at positions 354 to 796 of the family's 1533-position model. The record is from RNAcentral.
AUCAGGAAUAUUGCGCAAUGGGGGAAACCCUGACGCAGCGACGCCGCGUGCGGGAAGAAGGCCUUCGGGUCGUAAACCGCUGUUGUGGGAGACGAGUGACCGCUGAUGAGGCGGGAGAGACGGUAUCCCACAAGGAAGCCCCGGCUAACUACGUGCCAGCAGCCGCGGUAAUACGUAGGGGGCGAGCGUUGUCCGAAGUUACUGGGCGUAAAGCGCGUGUAGGCGGUCCUUUAAGUGACUGGUGAAAUCCCCGGGCUCAACUCGGGAGUGUCUGGUCAUACUGGAGGGCUAGAGUGCGGGAGAGGUGAGCGGAACUCCUGGUGUAGCGGUGAUAUGCGUAGAGAUCAGGAAGAACACCCGUAGCGAAGGCGGCUCACUGGACCGUAACUGACGCUGAGACGCGAAAGCCAGGGGAGCGAACGGGAUUAGAUACCCUUGUAGUCC